GCCCGCGCACUCCCCUGCAGCCUCGCGCGGGCUCAGUCCCACCGCGGACCCCGCCUCCGGGAAGGCGCCCCGCGUUCCCCCUUCCGCCUCGGGCAGCGGGGCGGGGUACGCGAAGUAGCGACUUUCUGCGGUACCUUUACGCAGGGUCGCCAUCUAGUGACGGCAGGAUAUACUGCUGCGUUCGGCCGCGAAGCCGGCCGACGCUACAAGUUGGGAACGUUUCUGAAUACUUCAUGUGCAAAGACACAUCUCCAGACUGAAAGGUCAUUACAGUCCCAGUGGACAAAGAUUAAGGAGAAGCCAGCCGUGCUUUGGUUUAUGCUUUUAGAACUCUUGGGCCUGUUCACGUGGGUCAGAUACCAUCACUCUUCCCGGGCCAGUGAACGCCAUGGUGUGGGGGCAGGAAGGAGUGACAAGGGUGCCUGCUGAGCCACUCCCUGGAACCAGCCCCUGACCUGGAACUGGACUUAGAGGCCCUGUGCCCAGCCCCUGAGACUGGUAAAGACACUGCUCAGUAACGCAGUUAACAAACGAAGAGAUGGUCAAGUUCACCCAUAACUAAAGAAAUGCAAGUUGAUGUUUCACAUUUUUGCCCAUCAGAUUGAUAAAGAAUAAGAAAAUUGAUCAUAUCAAGUGCUGGGGAGGCUGUGGGGAACAACCCCUCAUCCACUGUUUGUUCAGCUUCUUAUGAAGAAUUUGGGGACUUUCGACACUGUCCAUCAAAUACAAAACUGUGACCACCCUUUGGCUCAGCAGUUUCAUUUUAACGAAGCUAUCUGAAGAUAACAUCGGUUUGAUUUUUAA
This is a long non-coding RNA of Leopardus geoffroyi (Geoffroy's cat), 804 nucleotides long. RefSeq lists it as uncharacterized. The transcript has 3 exons. Lineage: Eukaryota; Metazoa; Chordata; Mammalia; Carnivora; Felidae. The record is from RefSeq and is a predicted model, not a curated record.